This is a long non-coding RNA of Seriola aureovittata, 752 nucleotides long. RefSeq lists it as uncharacterized. The transcript has 4 exons. The record is from RefSeq and is a predicted model, not a curated record. Lineage: Eukaryota; Metazoa; Chordata; Actinopteri; Carangiformes; Carangidae.
ACCACAGAAAACCCUUGAAUAUUUAUAUAUGUCAACGCUAAUAAGCUGUUAUUUUAUUAGAAUCCUGACUGUGAACUUGAGGGACACAGCUUCUGUCGAGUUGUUAGUGUUGAAAUCCCGAUUGGUUUUUGUUUACCAGAUAAAAUCUGUGAGGAAUCUGUGAUGGUGAGCCUAACCUGUGAGAUUGUGGAUGAACGUGGAAAUGGUGUGUCCAUAGAAGACAUCUGACCAGUUUGAUUAAUUCACAUGGACCCCAGGGUGCACUUAAAGCCAGUAGUGGAGUUUUUCCUGUCAGCUUCACAAGUGUUUCAAGCACAAGCCAUCUUCAGUUUUUUUUUUCUUCCAGCUGGCACUUUUGUUUAUGCAUCUUUCAACAUUCAAUCAACUUAGCCCUCACAAACCCCUGGCUGACCGUGUUGUUUUUCUUCUCUCACAUCGCAGAAGCAGAAUUACUUUGUUCACCUUGUGUGAAAACACAUGUGAAAAACAUCUGUAGACAUAUGACAAUCACCAGUUGUCAGCUGUUCCGCUCUUGAGACUGCUUCUAAACAUGCUGCACUGAAUUAUAUAUCUGUCUUUUUAAAGUCAUUUACAGACUACUAGAGACCUGUGUUCACUCUAAUUAUGGAUCCCUUAAUUUCAACUGUAAAUUAAAGUCUUUAUCUUUUGAUUAACAUCAACAAGUUCCUUGUUGGUUUGCCUGCGUCCUAGAAAGCUACAUUUGUCAUUGCUCAUCCGUACUGACAGAAAAG